This 391-nucleotide unclassified non-coding RNA is filed under the name soil metagenome. RNAcentral describes it as "partial contains 5.8S ribosomal RNA, internal transcribed spacer 2, and large subunit ribosomal RNA". The stretch from base 1 to 122 matches the Rfam family "5.8S ribosomal RNA", at positions 35 to 154 of the family's 154-position model. The record is from RNAcentral.
GAUGAAGAACGCAGCGAAAUGCGAUACUUGGUGUGAAUUGCAGAAUCCCGUGAAACAUCGAGUCUUUGAACGCAAGUUGCGCCCGAAGCCACUAGGCCGAGGGCACGCCUGCCUGGGCGUCACACGCCGUUGCCCCCCCAUCUACUCCUUCGGGAUUGCGGGGGGGCGGAUGAUGGCCUCCCGUGCGCCUAGCCGCGCGGUUGGCAUAAAUACCAAGUCCUCGGCGACGCACGCCACGACAAUCGGUGGUUGCGAAACCUCGGUUGCCCGUCGUGUGCGUUCGUCGCGCAUCGAGGGCUCGAAAAAAUGCUCGGCUCCGGCUGGGCUUUCAACGCGACCCCAGGUCAGGCGGGGUUACCCGCUGAAUUUAAGCAUAUCAAUAAGCGGAGGA